GAUGAACGCUGGCGGCGUGCCUAAUACAUGCAAGUCGAGCGAACAGAUGAGGAGCUUGCUCCUCUGACGUUAGCGGCGGACGGGUGAGUAACACGUGGAUAACCGACCUAUAAGACUGGGGUAACUUCGGGAGACCGGAGCUAAUACCGGAUAUUAUAUUGAACGGCAUGGUUCAAUAGUGAAAGACGGUUUUGCUGUCCCUUAUAGAUGGAUCCGCGCCGCAUUAGCUAGUUGGUACGGUAACGGCUUACCAAGGCAACGAUGCGUAGCCGACCUGAGAGGGUGAUCGGCCACACUGGAACUGAGACACGGUCCAGACUCCUACGGGAGGCAGCAGUAGGGAAUCUUCCGCAAUGGGCGAAAGCCUGACGGAGCAACGCCGCGUGAGUGAUGAAGGUCUUCGGAUCGUAAAACUCUGUUAUUAGGGAAGAACAAAUGUGUAAGUAACUAUGCACGUCUUGACGGUACCUAAUCAGAAAGCCACGGCUAACUACGUG
RNAcentral lists this ribosomal RNA (497 nucleotides) under uncultured bacterium. RNAcentral describes it as "partial 16S ribosomal RNA". It matches the Rfam family "Bacterial small subunit ribosomal RNA", at positions 28 to 507 of the family's 1533-position model. The record is from RNAcentral.